UACGAAGGGGGCUAGCGUUGUUCGGAAUUACUGGGCGUAAAGCGCGCGCAGGCGGUCUUCCAAGUCAGUGGUGAAAGCCUGGAGCUCAACUCCAGAACUGCCAUUGAAACUGUUAGACUUGAGUACGAGAGAGGUGAGUGGAAUUCCCAGUGUAGAGGUGAAAUUCGUAGAUAUUGGGAAGAACACCGAUGGCGAAGGCAGCUCGCUGGGACGGUACUGACGCUGAGGCGCGAAAGCGUGGGGAGCAAACAGG
Molecule: ribosomal RNA, 253 nt
Filed under: uncultured bacterium
Lineage: Bacteria
Description: partial 16S ribosomal RNA
Rfam family: Bacterial small subunit ribosomal RNA
Source: RNAcentral